Long non-coding RNA from Gracilinanus agilis (Agile Gracile Mouse Opossum), 216 nucleotides. RefSeq lists it as uncharacterized. Lineage: Eukaryota; Metazoa; Chordata; Mammalia; Didelphimorphia; Didelphidae. The record is from RefSeq and is a predicted model, not a curated record. The transcript has 4 exons.
GUUUGGAGUAACUUCAGCUUCCGGUGGAAACGGCGUGUUGGUGCAGUCAGCCCCGCGGACAGCUCGAGCACCAUGGCUCGAAAUGCAGAAAAGGCCAUGACGGCUUUGGCGAGAUUUCGCCAAGCUCAACUUGAGGAAGGGAAAGUUAAGGAACGAAGACCUUUUCUUGCCUCUGAAUGUAAUGAGCUACCGAAAGCAGAAAAAUGGCGACGACAG